CCUUCGGGUUGUAAAGUACUUUCAGCAGUGAGGAAGGUGGAUAUGUUAAUAGCAUUAUCUAUUGUACGUUAGCUGCAGAAGAAGCACCGGCUAACUCCGUGCCAGCAGCCGCGGUUAAUACGGGAGGGUGCGAGUACGUUAAGUCGGUAAUUACGUGGGACGUAAAGCGCAUGCAGGUUGGUUUAGUUAAGUCAGAUGUAGAAACGGCCCGGGGCUACAACCGUACGGUAAUUGCUAUUUAGAAACGUGGACAAACUAGAGUACUGUAGAGGGGGUAGAAUUUCAGGUGUAGCGGUGAAAUGCGUAGAGAUCUGAAGGAAUACCGGUGGCGAAGGCGGCCCCCUGGACAGAUACUGACACUCAGAUGCGAAAGCGUGGGGAGCAAACAGGAUUAGAUACCCUGGUAG
RNAcentral lists this ribosomal RNA (407 nucleotides) under uncultured bacterium. RNAcentral's name for it is "bacterial SSU rRNA". It matches the Rfam family "Bacterial small subunit ribosomal RNA", at positions 415 to 793 of the family's 1533-position model. The record is from RNAcentral.